CCCAGGCUUGCAAUCUUCGCCUGGAGGGCUGGAAAAACACACUCCCACCAGCUCCGUUGGUUCCCUUUGGAGAACUCUGGGGCGGUAUCGGCCCUCCUCCUCCUCUACUGCCGCACCCACCAAACAUCAGAACAUCACAAUAACAACAACAAGCCCAGAAAGUGACCCAUCACAGUACAAACUGAAAGAAGACAAGAUGGUUUGGGGGUGGAGACUGGGGGCUCUUCAUUCCUGCAGCCCCUUCCCCUUUGAUGUAGGGCACUGCCACUGGACAGUUCGGCCUGGCUGUGCGUCUCAUCUUUAACCCAUGAGCAAGACAAUCUUGAGCUGUCCUUAGCUGCACUGGUGUUAAAGUAAUAUGUGCCAUUUUAUUCCAACAUUGCCCAAGGGUUUCAGGCAAGCUGAUAGGAGGAAAACUUUAAGAAAUUAUCUGUUACUAGUAAAAUUGGAGCCAAGGAUUCAAACAGGUCCAUCCAUUUAAGGCGUUUCAUUGUGAAAUAAGGAAUGCUGCUUAUGAUCCUGUGCGUGACAUAUAGUACAGUCUUUAGUGACAGCUGAUCCUGUGCAGAAGAUCUAUUCUGACUCUGGAGAAGAACAACAAAGAGGCUAAAACAUAUAAAGAACAUUUGAAGGAACUGGGUGAAUCUAAGAGAAAGCACCUUGAGGGGACUUUUUAUACAAAGCUUUUUCAGAUCAGGAAGCAUGACAAGCUGCAGAACUCUACCUCUCUACAACAAUAACACUCAAAUAUAUCAUCAUUGCAUUAAAUUAAUAAAAAAAUAAAUAAGGUGUGGAAAGUACUGCCAGAAACUCAGUUUAGUUGGCAAAUGAGUGAGUGUAAAAUGAAAAAAAAAAAAAAAAACAGAAAUGUUUCCCUUUGUUAAUGCAAAUCAAAGAGCUAGUAAGGAAUAUGAAUUAUUUCUGGCCUUUAUGCCAGGUCAGAUAUUAUUACAUUUGAGAAUGGUGGUUGCCAAUUAACCCAAAACAGAAAAAAAAAAUUCCUGCUGUUGUCAUUGUAAAACUGAUGGCACUGAAAAAAUGAAGAAGCAAAAUCAAAUCCACAGUCAUCUACGAAAACAAUCCAAAAUCUAUAAUUGAAAAAAUCCUUUCUUUGGCUUUGUCCUUUAUUUGAAUUAGAUUUUCUAUUCAGAUUUAGGGAAUUUACAUUGCAUACUAUUUUUUAAAAAAUCUAACAAUUCCGUUAGGAUCAUGGGUAAAAUUAAAACCAGUAUCAUUAAAAUCAACUUAGUUUACCAUGAAAA
This is a long non-coding RNA of Crotalus tigris (Tiger rattlesnake), 1262 nucleotides long. RefSeq lists it as uncharacterized. Lineage: Eukaryota; Metazoa; Chordata; Lepidosauria; Squamata; Viperidae. The transcript is spliced from 4 exons. The record is from RefSeq and is a predicted model, not a curated record.